RNAcentral lists this ribosomal RNA (383 nucleotides) under uncultured bacterium. RNAcentral describes it as "bacterial SSU rRNA". It matches the Rfam family "Bacterial small subunit ribosomal RNA", at positions 30 to 418 of the family's 1533-position model. The record is from RNAcentral.
AUUGAACGCUGGCGGCAUGCCUUACACAUGCAAGUCGAACGGCAGCACGGGAGCAAUCCUGGUGGCGAGUGGCGAACGGGUGAGUAAUAUAUCGGAACGUGCCCAGUCGUGGGGAUAACGUAGCGAAAGCUACGCUAAUACCGCAUACGAUCUAUGGAUGAAAGCGGGGGAUCGCAAGACCUCGCGCGAUUGGAGCGGCCGAUAUCAGAUUAGGUAGUUGGUGAGGUAAAGGCUCACCAAGCCGACGAUCUGUAGCUGGUCUGAGAGGACGACCAGCCACACUGGGACUGAGACACGGCCCAGACUCCUACGGGAGCAGCAGUGGGAAUUUUGGACAAUGGCGCAAGCCUGAUCAGCAAUGCCGCGUGCAGGAUGAAGGCCUU